AAUCCCGUGAACCAUCGAGUCUUUGAACGCAAGUUGCGCCCGAAGCCCUCGGGCCGAGGGCACGCCUGCCUGGGCGUCACGCAUCGCGUCGCCCCCCCGCCCCGCCCGCUCCGGGCGGUGGCGCGGGGGCGGAGACUGGCCUCCCGUGCGCCUCCGUCGCGCGGCCGGCCC
This 171-nucleotide ribosomal RNA is filed under the name Mirandea grisea. Its description in RNAcentral is "5.8S ribosomal RNA". The stretch from base 1 to 79 matches the Rfam family "5.8S ribosomal RNA", at positions 78 to 154 of the family's 154-position model. The record is from RNAcentral. Lineage: Eukaryota; Viridiplantae; Streptophyta; Magnoliopsida; Lamiales; Acanthaceae.